RNAcentral lists this ribosomal RNA (443 nucleotides) under uncultured bacterium. Its description in RNAcentral is "partial 16S ribosomal RNA". It matches the Rfam family "Bacterial small subunit ribosomal RNA", at positions 338 to 795 of the family's 1533-position model. The record is from RNAcentral.
CCUACGGGAGGCAGCAGUGGGGAAUAUUGGGCAAUGGACGCAACUCUGACCCAGCAACGCCGCGUGAAUGAUGAAGGUCCUCGGAUUGUAAAGCUCUUUUCUAAGGGAAGAAGAAAGUGACGGUACCUUAGGAAUAAGCCUCGGCUAACUAUGUGCCAGCAGCCGCGGUAAUACGUAGGAGGCAAGCGUUAUCCGGAAUGACUGGGUGUCAAGGGUGCGUAGGUGGUUUGACAAAUUAGUAGCGCAACUCCGGAGCUCAACUUCGAAACUACUACUAAAACUGUUGGACUUGAGUGCAGGAGAGGCAGGCGGAAUAAGUGAUGUAGCGGUGAAAUGCGUAGAUAUAAGGAAGAACACCGAUGGCGAAGGCAGAUUACUAGACUGUGUCUGACGCUGAGGCACGAGAGCAUGGGGAGCGAACAGGAUUAGAUACCCGAGUAGUC